This 113-nucleotide small nucleolar RNA is filed under the name Myotis lucifugus (little brown bat). The record is from RNAcentral. Lineage: Eukaryota; Metazoa; Chordata; Mammalia; Chiroptera; Vespertilionidae.
CAGUAUAUAUGAGCAGUGUUAUUUCUUAUGUGCUAUACAAAUAGUUGAAGGUUAAUUAAGGUUAAUUAGCAGUGUAACUAAAUAGUAAUGCUGCCAAUCUCCUUCAGACAAAC